UGGAUAACAUGCAACCAUGCCCUCUAUUU
RNAcentral lists this non-coding RNA (29 nucleotides) under Rattus norvegicus (Norway rat). The record is from RNAcentral. Lineage: Eukaryota; Metazoa; Chordata; Mammalia; Rodentia; Muridae.